RNAcentral lists this long non-coding RNA (2292 nucleotides) under Ananas comosus (pineapple). Its description in RNAcentral is "long non-coding RNA (ACOM_LNC024362)". The record is from RNAcentral. Lineage: Eukaryota; Viridiplantae; Streptophyta; Magnoliopsida; Poales; Bromeliaceae.
GCUCAACUGAGUAGUCUAACGUUGUUCCGGUUUUGGUUCUUGUGAACAUUGACAUUGAUUCGUUCCAAAUUUACACUCUCGAUGCAUAAUACAAAGCUUUUACUCCUUGUUCGAUAGAAUUAGAAAAAGUACUCGUUGCAAAGUUAUACUGUUAUGGCGCAACUGAGUAGUCUAAUAUAGUUCCGGUUUUGGUUCUUGUGAACGUUCACAUCGAUUCGUUCCAAAUUUACACUCUCGGGGCAUAAUAGAAAGCUUUUACUCCGUGUUCGAUAGAAUAAGAGAAAGUACUCGUCGCAAAGUUAUACUGUUAUGGCGCAACUGAGUUGUCUAAUGUUGUUCCGGUUUUGGUUCUUGUGAACGUUUACAUCGAUUCGUUCCAAAUUAAAACUCUCGGGGUAAAAUAGAACAAUAUAAUAAGGUUUUGCUAUUUGUUCGAUUGAAUGAGAAAAAAUACUAGUUGCAAAGUUAUACUGUUAGGGCUCAACUGAGUAGUCUAACGUUGUUCCGGUUUUGGUUCUUGUGAACGUUGACAUUGAUUCGUUCCAAAUUUACACUCUCGAUGCAUAACACAAAGCUUUUACUCCUUGUUCGAUAGAAUUAGAAAAAGUACUCGUUGCAAAGUUAUACUGUUAUGGCACAACAGAGUAGUCUAAUGUUGUUCCGGUUUUUGUUCUUGUGAACGUUGACAUCGAUUCGUUCCAAAUUUACACUCUCGGGGCGUAAUAGAACAAUAUAAUUAGGUUUUAUUCUUUGUUCGAUUGAAUGAGAAAAAAUACUAGUUGCAAUAUUAUACUUUUAGGGCUCAACUGAGUAGUCUAACGUUGUUCCGGUUUUGGUUCUUGUGAACAUUGACAUUGAUUCGUUCCAAAUUUACACUCUCGAUGCAUAAUACAAAGCUUUUACUCCUUGUUCGAUAGAAUUAGAAAAAGUACUCGUUGCAAAGUUAUACUGUUAGGGCUCAACUGAGUUGUCUAACGUUGUUCCGGUUUUGGCUCUUGUGAACGUUGACAUUGAUUCGUUCCAAAUUUACACUCUCGGGGCAUAAUAGAAAGCUUUUACUCAUUAUUCGAUAGAAUUAGAAAAAGUACUCGUUGCAAAGUUAUACUGUUAGGGCUCAACUGAGUUGUCUAACAUUGUUCCGGUUUUGGUUCUUGUGAACGUUGAUAUUGAUUCGUUCCAAAUUUACACUCUCGGGGCAUAAUAGAAAGCUUUUACUCAUUAUUCGAUAGAAUUAGAAAAAGUACUCGUUGCAAUGUUAUACUGUUAUGGCACAACAGAGUAGUCUAAUGUUGUUCCGAUUUUUGUUCUUGUGAACGUUGACAUCGAUUCGUUCCAAAUUUACACUCUCGGGGCAUAAUAGAACAAUAUAAGUAGGUUUUAUUCUUUGUUCGAUUGAAUGAGAAAAAGUACUAGUUGCAAUAUUAUACUGUUAGGGCUCAAUUGAGUAGUCUAACGUUGUUCCGGUUUUGGUUCUUGUGAACGUUGACAUCGAUUCGUUCGAAAUUUACACUCUCGGGGCAUUAUAGAAAGCUUUUACUCCUUAUUCGAUAGAAUGAGAAAAAGUUCUCGUUGCAAAGUUAUACUGUUAUGGCGCAACAGAGUAGUCUAAUGUUGUUUCGGUUUUGGUUCUUGUGAACGUUGACAUCGAUUCGUUCCAAAUUUACACUCUCGGUGCAUAAUAGAACAAUAUAAUUAGAUUUUACUCUUUAUUCGAUUCAAUGAGAAAAAGUACUCGUUGCAAAGUUCACUGUUAUGGCGCAACUGAGUAGUCUAAUUUACUCGUUGCAAAGUUAUACUGUUAUGGCGCAACAGAGUAGUCUAUUUUAGUUCCGGUUUUGGUUCUUGUGAACUUUGACAUCGAUUCGUUCCAAAUUUACACUCUCGGGGCAUAAUAAAAUAAUAUAAUUAGGUUUUGCUCUUUGUUCGAUUGAAUGAGAAAAAGUUCUAGUUGCAAAGUUAUACUAUUAGGGCUCAACUGAGUAGUCUAACUUUGUUCCGGUUUUGGUUCUUGUGAACGUUAAUAUCGUUUCGUUCCAAAUUUACACUCUCGGGGUAUAAUAGAAAGCUUUUACUCCUUGUUCGAUAGAGUGAGAAAAAGUAUUCGUUGCAAUGUUAUACUGUUAUGGCGCAGCAGAGUAGUUUAAUGUUGUUCCGGUUUUGGUUCUUGUGAACGUUGACAUCGAUUCGUUCCAAAUUUACACUCUCAGGGCAUAAUAGAACAAUAUAAUUAGGUUUUACUCUUUGUUCGAUUGAAUGAGAAAAAGUACUAGCUGUAAUGUUAUACUGUUAGGG